Molecule: ribosomal RNA, 460 nt
Filed under: uncultured bacterium
Lineage: Bacteria
Description: partial 16S ribosomal RNA
Rfam family: Bacterial small subunit ribosomal RNA
Source: RNAcentral
CCUACGGGGGGCAGCAGUGAGGAAUAUUGGUCAAUGGACGAGAGUCUGAACCAGCCAAGUAGCGUGAAGGAUGACUGCCCUAUGGGUUGUAAACUUCUUUUAUAAAGGAAUAAAACGAGGCACGCGUGCCCGGAGGGAGAGUACCCGCAGAAUAAGCAUCGGCUAACUCCGUGCCAGCAGCCGCGGUAAUACGGAGGAUGCGAGCGUUAUCCGGAUUUAGUGGGUUUAAAGGGUGCGUAGGCGGAUUUUUAAGUCAGCGGUAAAAUGUCCGGGCUCAACCCGGGCCGGCCGUUGAAACUGGGGAUCUUGAGUGGGCGAGAAGUAUGCGGAAUGCGUGGUGUAGCGGUGAAAUGCAUAGAUAUCACGCAGAACUCCGAUUGCGAAGGCAGCAUACCGGCGCCCGACUGACGCUGAGGCACGAAAGCGUGGGGAUCGAACAGGAUUAGAUACCCGAGUAGUC